AAACCAACUGGGAUUACCUUAGUAACGGCGAGUGAAGCGGUAAAAGCUCAAAUUUGAAAUCUGGUACUUUCAGUGCCCGAGUUGUAAUUUGUAGAAUUUGUCUUUGAUUAGGUCCUUGUCUAUGUUCCUUGGAACAGGACGUCAUAGAGGGUGAGAAUCCCGUUUGGCGAGGAUACCUUUUCUCUGUAAGACUUUUUCGAAGAGUCGAGUUGUUUGGGAAUGCAGCUCAAAGUGGGUGGUAAAUUCCAUCUAAAGCUAAAUAUUGGCGAGAGACCGAUAGCGAACAAGUACAGUGAUGGAAAGAUGAAAAGAACUUUGAAAAGAGAGUGAAAAAGUACGUGAAAUUGUUGAAAGGGAAGGGCAUUUGAUCAGACAUGGUGUUUUUUAAAUGUGCAAGUCUCUCGUGGACAUGUGCCUCUGGAAAUUAACACUGGGCCAACAUCAGUUCUGGCGGCAGGAUAAAUCAUUAAGAAUGUAGCUACCUCGGUAGUGUUAUAGCUUUUUGGAAUACUGCCAGCUGGGUA
This 524-nucleotide ribosomal RNA is filed under the name uncultured Hanseniaspora. RNAcentral describes it as "eukaryotic LSU rRNA". It matches the Rfam family "Eukaryotic large subunit ribosomal RNA", at positions 62 to 585 of the family's 3401-position model. Lineage: Eukaryota; Fungi; Ascomycota; Saccharomycetes; Saccharomycodales; Saccharomycodaceae. The record is from RNAcentral.